This 2628-nucleotide long non-coding RNA is filed under the name Homo sapiens (human). Its description in RNAcentral is "HSALNT0291095". Lineage: Eukaryota; Metazoa; Chordata; Mammalia; Primates; Hominidae. The record is from RNAcentral.
CUGUGACGCACUUGGGCUGGCUCUUGCAUCUUACCACUGCUGUGAGAACAUGGCUGGACAGCCUUCUGAAGGAUGAGAGGCACACGGAGCAGAGCCAAGUUUCUCCCGUCACCCCAUCCAAAUUCAACUACAUCAGCCAAGGUCAGCCAACAUCAGCCAGCAAUGAUGGAACCCCCCAGACAUAAGCUCUUUCCUUAACCACACACGGGGUGGAAAGAACGCCUUGUCCAGAAGCCGAAGGACACUGAGGCUCUAAACUCCUGCUGUGUGGGCUGCAGCAGGCCACUGCUCUUCUCUGACCCUCAGUUUCUUCAUCUGUAAAACUGGAACAUGAUGCCCCACUGGAAGGCUAUCGUGAGGGCUGGACACGGCGAUGUAAAUUGAGGGCCAAGCGUGGAGCCGGCAUAGAGUGGACACUAAAAUACACCAGGCUGUUUCAUUUGGCAAAAGGGGUUCAAUUCUGUCUUUUAAACUCAUGCACUUUGGCAUAUUUGGCUUCUAAAUAUGCAGUGAGGCAGGAAGAGCAAUGAGUCUGGAAGCCAGAGAUUCUCGUGCAUCCAUUCUCUCCUCUGUCUCAGCUUUGCAUUGUACCUUGGGUGAGCCAUUGCACCUCCCUGACCCUCUGUGUCUUCAUCUACCAGACAGAAAAAAUUACACUUACUCCUAAACCAUAAUGUUUGGCAAGACCCAGUGAACCUCACAAAGCACCCCCAAAAGGCAGGCAGGAUGAGGAGUUCUCCCUGUUGAGCUGUGUGAGCUGCCCAGAUUGAUAUGCCUAGAAGGCACCCCAUUUGGAAGUAAACACAGGCUCCAUUUAAGGAUGCACGGAAGGUUGGAACACUUUAUUCCUGAACACAUUUAUGUAAAAUUAAUUGCAUCACCUGUUCUCUGCAUCUUCUAAUUGCAAAACCAAUUAACUUUAAAAUGCUCAGCACAGUGUGGCCAAGGGAAGGGAAGGCAAAGACCAGGCUGGCUUUGCAAACUCUGUGCCAUUUGUAGUGGCCACAGUGGCCCUAGGAAGUCCCAGCCAUUCCCAUCUGCUGGCCGAGGAGGCCCUGUGGGAUGCUGGGAGACUCUAGGAGAUGAGCAAGACCCUCAGAGUCUGGGGCUGGAAACUUCCUAGCACAAGUGAGCUGAGUGGUCAUGGGCCAGGUGAUGGAGUGGACAUUCCCCAGUGGUGGCCAGAAUGACCCAAUAUCAACUGCCCCUCCACCCAGCACCCCCAUUCCCUUUACCCUGUAUUUUGUUCCCCUCUGCCAUUUUCACUGCCCGACUGGCUGUGUAGCUAUUUGUUUAUCAUGUUUCUCCUCAGUAAAAUGUUGACUCCACAAAGACAUGUCUAUUGCACCUCCUGCUGUGUGCCUGGGACCUAGAACAGUGCCUGGCACAUAGUAGGUGCUCAGACAAAUGAAUGAAUGAAUGAAUGAAUGAAUGAAUGAAUGAAUGAAUGAACUAAUGGACUUCAGCUCAUUGUGAGAUGGGAUUUUCACAGAAUUGAAAUGGUCCCUGGUGGGAUGAACCGUCUUAAGGCAAAGGGUGUUCACUCCACCCCUGCAGCCAUUUGCGAGCCGUUAGGUUGAGGGAACACAGGCACUGGCUGAGGGGAUAUAUUUGUUCUUAAAACCUUUUACCAGGCCCCACGUAUGCACCCCUUUCUGUCUGCUCUGCCCAGAGAUUUUAGGCUCCUCUCUCUCAGGGGAAGGGAGUGAUUUGGUAUCAAUCAACCUUGAGCUCAGCUCAUGUUUCUUAACUAGCUGGUUAACAGCUUACUUCUUUGUGACUCAACUUUCUCAUUUCCUGAGACUUUCAGGGCUGCAAAGAAUGGGGAGAAAAUAUGCUUUGUAAAGGAAAAAUGCACACACACAGCGUUCAUUGACUUCCCCCCGGUUUCCAGCGUCUGUGAAUGCACACGGUACCAGCUAACAGCCACCAGAAGGGGUCUGGCUGCAACCGAGAUUGUGCUGGGAAAGAGGCCCGGGCAGCAGUCUCCAGUAGCCAAAGCACCGGCAUGGCCAUAUUAAAGCAUUCGGUUCCAAGCCCCUCCAGGAGGGAGGUGUGGGCAACAAGGGGCAGCAGUGAGUGGGCAGGUGCGGAGAAUCGUGUACUAAUCCCCCCUCCUCCUUCCAGGAAGCCUCACUCCUCUGCUCGGGCUGCUGUACCACAUUUCAGAGACUAUCUUGAUCUCUCAACACAAGCAGCCGAUGAGAUAUUCACACAUUCAGGGUGGGGAGGAUGAGAUCCAGGUGGCCUUAUGUGAUUCCUUUUCAGUGUGUGAAUGGGCACAUUGGCCUGGAUAGAGAGCCUGCCAGCCCCGCUGCUGGUUCUCUGCAAGGCCUAGAUUUGGCACAGGAGAUGCAGGUACUAUGAGUUCGGGGUAGGGGUGCUGGUGGGGUGUUUGGCAGAAAUCAGUGUUGAGGAAAAUUUCAAUGAUUCAUCAGCAAAUCAGGGACAGAACUGCAGCUUCCCCAUGUGAGGAGCCCUUGAGUGAUAGAUGGUUCCUGGGUACUCCUGCCCUGGAGUUUGCCUUUCUCUGAAGGUGAUGGAUUCAAAAGCAGCUCUAAUGAGCCUAUAGUGGGUUACAAGGCAGCCACUGGCUGGCUGCCUCCCCUCCUCCUGCCCGGCCUUCAC